This 273-nucleotide ribosomal RNA is filed under the name uncultured bacterium. RNAcentral describes it as "partial 16S ribosomal RNA". It matches the Rfam family "Bacterial small subunit ribosomal RNA", at positions 524 to 796 of the family's 1533-position model. The record is from RNAcentral.
UACGGAGGGUGCAAGCGUUAAUCGGAAUUACUGGGCGUAAAGCGCACGCAGGCGGUCUGUCAAGUCGGAUGUGAAAUCCCCGGGCUCAACCUGGGAACUGCAUUCGAAACUGGCAGGCUAGAGUCUUGUAGAGGGGGGUAGAAGUCCAGGUGGAGCGGUGAAAUGCGUAGCGAGCUGGAGGAAUACCGGUGGCGAAGGCGGCCCCCUGGACAAAGACUUACGCUCAGUUGCGAAAGCGUGGUUAGCAAACAGUAUUAGAUACCCCCGUAGUCC